GUCUUUUAUAAACCAAUAAAAAUUAACCCCCCUAUGAAAAGGUAGGGAUACUAUUAUAGGACAAAAAGACCCUAUUGAACUUUAUUUAAAUAAAUUUAUACUACAAAAAGCCUAAAUUUAUUAUAAUUUAGUUGGGGCGACUAAGGAAUAAAUAAAUCUUCCUUUAACAGUAUAGGCCAAUAAGCCUAAUAUAUGACCCCCCUAUGUGAUCAUAAAACUAGUUACCUUAGGGAUAACAGACUAAUUCCCCUUAAGAGCCCAUAUUGACAGGGGAGUUUGGCACCUCGAUGUUGGCUUAGGUACCCCUAUAAGUGUAGCCGCUUUUAAUGGUAGGCUUGUUCCGCCUAUAAUUACCU
RNAcentral lists this ribosomal RNA (356 nucleotides) under Flabelligena sp. 459a PB. Its description in RNAcentral is "partial 16S ribosomal RNA". It matches the Rfam family "Bacterial large subunit ribosomal RNA", at positions 2049 to 2597 of the family's 2925-position model. The record is from RNAcentral. Lineage: Eukaryota; Metazoa; Annelida; Polychaeta; Terebellida; Acrocirridae.